Molecule: long non-coding RNA, 1251 nt
Organism: Rhipicephalus sanguineus (brown dog tick)
Lineage: Eukaryota; Metazoa; Arthropoda; Arachnida; Ixodida; Ixodidae
Exons: 2
Source: RefSeq, a predicted model, not a curated record
GGGGCGCCGUCAGCUGACAGACGAGCCGAAGAACGAAGCAUGUGAUUGUAUCGAAGGAAGAACAAAGGAGCGGCAAUGCCUUCUUGCAGUGUGCCCGGGUGCCGCUCGCGCGCGAUAAGAAAGGAACCGGGCGUCACCUUCCACGCCUUUCCCAAAGAUCCCCGUCGUCGGAGGCUAUGGAUCGAAGCCAUAAGACCCGGUCAACGCGACUGGGAACCGGCGAAGUCGGCUUGUGUGUGCUCAAAACACUUUGCACUUGAACACUUCAAUCGGGCGUCGCCGCUGGUAGUUCGCCUCCACGAGGAUGCCGUCCCUGCCCCGGUGAGAGACCGCAAUAACUGCGCCCUGGAGAUUUUCCAAUAAAUUUCCAACUUUGUGCUUCAUGUUUAUUCAGCUGAAUGCAAGAAAGCAAUGGUGCAAUUCGGCAGGAUGGUCGCCGCGGACAGCUCGAUCGCUUUUUUUUUUUUCAGGAGAAACGGUAAGUUCAGGGCACGCGACAUUUUAGAGUCACUGUAUAUGCUACCUAAAGGUAGCAUAUACAGUAACUCUACGCGACGUAAUCUAACAGCAACAUCUGAAUUGGUCUUCUUACGUAGGGGCAUGCGGCGCCUCCAGAUUAUCCCCGGCCUGUGUGUGUCUUAACGUUUGCACGAACGUCGUGGCACUCGAGCCUACAGUGGCACGGGUCGGUCGUCUACGACCGCAUAGAAGAUAACUUUGGCGCACAUGAACUUACCGCGCACAAAAGGUAAAAAAUCCGAGCGCUCCAAGUUGCUUUACAAAUCACCUGACUGAGUGAAACAAUAUUGGGUCAGGCACGUCUUUUCUACCCUUGACGCUGGAACCUUCGCUGAGCGCUCCGGGCCAAUGCUUUCCAAUCGUUGUCACCGUCGUGCGCGGGAACGGGUCACCGCCGUCUCCCACAUUAAGAGGUGUCGUUUCUUUUUCUCGGAAAUGUAGCAUUUCACCGCUAAGGGGGACAACAGCACGAUGCCAAAGGCUAACAAGGAAGCUGCGGCGCGAAGCCUUUGCGGAGAAGCUGUAGCGGGCUUCGAAAACAACCACUUGCGUCUGCAUGCUGAAUGAACUGAACACGCAAUCGUGAAGACCGACGCUCACUGUAGGCUUCCAAAACCGUGCGUCAUCCGCGAAACGAAACGAUCGCAUAAAAAUGCAUAUUCGCAACUCUCUGGCCGGCUCUGUGGUGGUGGAGCAGAGUACACGAGCCGGCGGCGUGCCCGAGGAAUCCCA